GACGUAGGGCGCGAGCGUUGUCCGGAUUUAUUGGGCGUAAAGAGCUCGUAGGCGGCUUGUCGCGUCGAAUGUGAAAUCCUGCGGCUCAACUGCAGGCUUGCAUUCGAUACGGGCAGGCUCGAGUUCGGUAGGGGAGACUGGAAUUCCUGGUGUAGCGGUGAAAUGCGCAGAUAUCUGGAGGAACACCGGUGGCGAAGGCGGCGUUCUGGACUGCAACUGACACUGAUGAACGAAAGCCAGGGGAGCAAACGGG
Molecule: ribosomal RNA, 253 nt
Filed under: uncultured bacterium
Lineage: Bacteria
Description: partial 16S ribosomal RNA
Rfam family: Bacterial small subunit ribosomal RNA
Source: RNAcentral